AGCAGCCGCGGUAAUUCCAGCUCCAAUAGCGUAUAUUAAAGUUGUUGCAGUUAAAAAGCUCGUAGUUGAAUUUCGGGAUCAAUUUAUUGGUCGUACCUUUUGGUACGUACUGAUUUUAUUGGUUUCUCCCUUCUGACGAACCAUGAUGUCAUUAAUUUGAUGUCUUGGGGAAUCAGGACUGUUACUUUGAAAAAUUAGAGUGUUUAAAGCAGGCUCACGCUUGAAUACAUUAGCAUGGAAUAAUGAAAUAGGACGUUUAAUUCUAUUUUGUUGGUUUCUAGGAUUGACGUAAUGAUUAAUAGGGAUAGUUGGGGGCAUUAGUAUUCAAUUGUCAGAGGUGAAAUUCUUGGAUUUAUUGAAGACUAACUACUGCGAAAGCAUUUUUGCCAAGGAUGUUUUCAUUAAUCAAGAACGAAAGUUAGGGGAUCGAAGACGAUCAGAUACCGUCGUAGUCUCAACCAUAAACUAUGACCGACUAGGGAUCGGAUGAUGUUAAUUUUUAAUGUACUCAUUUCGGCGC
Molecule: ribosomal RNA, 520 nt
Filed under: uncultured Glomus
Lineage: Eukaryota; Fungi; Glomeromycota; Glomeromycetes; Glomerales; Glomeraceae
Description: SSU rRNA
Rfam family: Eukaryotic small subunit ribosomal RNA
Source: RNAcentral